GCCCGCUUAGCUCAGUGGUAGAGCGUCUCAGCAUUGCCGUCCCCUAAUACCUCCUUAGAACAGCGUGCUUGAUGAGAAGAGCAUCAGUUCGAUCCUGAUAGCGGGUG
Molecule: non-coding RNA, 107 nt
Organism: Coniochaeta pulveracea
Lineage: Eukaryota; Fungi; Ascomycota; Sordariomycetes; Coniochaetales; Coniochaetaceae
Source: the annotation of a GenBank genome assembly